AGAGUUUGAUCCUGGCUCAGGAUGAACGCUGGCGGCGUGCCUAACACAUGCAAGUCGAGCGAUUCUCUUCGGAGAAGAGCGGCGGACGGGUGAGUAACGCGUGGGUAACCUGCCCUGUACACACGGAUAACAUACCGAAAGGUAUGCUAAUACGAGAUAAUAUGCUUUUAUCGCAUGGUAGAAGCAUCAAAGCUUUUGCGGUACAGGAUGGACCCGCGUCUGAUUAGCUAGUUGGUAAGGUAACGGCUUACCAAGGCGACGAUCAGUAGCCGACCUGAGAGGGUGAUCGGCCACAUUGGAACUGAGACACGGUCCAAACUCCUACGGGAGGCAGCAGUGGGGAAUAUUGCACAAUGGGCGAAAGCCUGAUGCAGCAACGCCGCGUGAGCGAUGAAGGCCUUCGGGUCGUAAAGCUCUGUCCUCAAGGAAGAUAAUGACGGUACUUGAGGAGGAAGCCCCGGCUAACUACGUGCCAGCAGCCGCGGUAAUACGUAGGGGGCUAGCGUUAUCCGGAAUUACUGGGCGUAAAGGGUGCGUAGGUGGUUUCUUAAGUCAGAGGUGAAAGGCUACGGCUCAACCGUAGUAAGCCUUUGAAACUGGGAAACUUGAGUGCAGGAGAGGAGAGUGGAAUUCCUAGUGUAGCGGUGAAAUGCGUAGAUAUUAGGAGGAACACCAGUUGCGAAGGCGGCUCUCUGGACUGUAACUGACACUGAGGCACGAAAGCGUGGGGAGCAAACAGGAUUAGAUACCCUGGUAGUCCACGCCGUAAACGAUGAGUACUAGCUGUCGGAGGUUACCCCCUUCGGUGGCGCAGCUAACGCAUUAAGUACUCCGCCUGGGAAGUACGCUCGCAAGAGUGAAACU
RNAcentral lists this ribosomal RNA (864 nucleotides) under uncultured bacterium. RNAcentral describes it as "bacterial SSU rRNA". It matches the Rfam family "Bacterial small subunit ribosomal RNA", at positions 8 to 901 of the family's 1533-position model. The record is from RNAcentral.